RNAcentral lists this ribosomal RNA (594 nucleotides) under Escherichia coli. RNAcentral's name for it is "partial 23S ribosomal RNA". It matches the Rfam family "Bacterial large subunit ribosomal RNA", at positions 2208 to 2801 of the family's 2925-position model. The record is from RNAcentral. Lineage: Bacteria; Pseudomonadati; Pseudomonadota; Gammaproteobacteria; Enterobacterales; Enterobacteriaceae.
UAAUGUUUGAUGUUCUAACGUUGGCCCGUUAUCCGGGUUGCGGACAGUGUCUGGUGGGUAGUUUGACUGGGGCGGUCUCCUCCUAAAGAGUAACGGAGGAGCACGAAGGUUGGCUAAUCCUGGUCGGACAUCAGGAGGUUAGUGCAAUGGCAUAAGCCAGCUUGACUGCGAGCGUGACGGCGCGAGCAGGUGCGAAAGCAGGUCAUAGUGAUCCGGUGGUUCUGAAUGGAAGGGCCAUCGCUCAACGGAUAAAAGGUACUCCGGGGAUAACAGGCUGAUACCGCCCAAGAGUUCAUAUCGACGGCGGUGUUUGGCACCUCGAUGUCGGCUCAUCACAUCCUGGGGCUGAAGUAGGUCCCAAGGGUAUGGCUGUUCGCCAUUUAAAGUGGUACGCGAGCUGGGUUUAGAACGUCGUGAGACAGUUCGGUCCCUAUCUGCCGUGGGCGCUGGAGAACUGAGGGGGGCUGCUCCUAGUACGAGAGGACCGGAGUGGACGCAUCACUGGUGUUCGGGUUGUCAUGCCAAUGGCACUGCCCGGUAGCUAAAUGCGGAAGAGAUAAGUGCUGAAAGCAUCUAAGCACGAAACUUGCCCCG